Non-coding RNA from Leptonychotes weddellii (Weddell seal), 871 nucleotides. The record is from RefSeq and is a predicted model, not a curated record. NCBI's taxonomy places the organism in Eukaryota, Metazoa, Chordata, Mammalia, Carnivora, Phocidae.
GUGCGCAGCUGGGGAUCCUUGCUUUCUUCCCCAACGUUUUAGUGAGCGUUUGUUGCCUGAACGAAGUCCGACUUUUCUAUCAUUAAGUACGCAAUCACAGAUCACAGCCAGACAGGCCAGUGCUCUCCUUUUCUUUGUUUCUUCCAGGAAGAGAGGCUGCUCUUCUGUUUUAUUUACAACUGCCUCUCCUGCCCUCACCUUCCAGGCCGACUUCCAGAAGACAUUCUCAAUGUAUCUUUAGAGGGUACCAGCAGGAUCAAGCCCUAGUUGCAGGCGGUGGUGACCAGCUUGGAUAACGUGCCCUUGUACUGACCUUCAUUUCAACUGGUUGACUUUUCCCAGCUCCCUGCGUGCAAGCUCUGAUGUCUAAGGGGAGUUGAAGUUAAGACAGGAACCCACAAGUGUAGCUGCCAGCUUUCUCCAGUGGCUCUCCAACACCUACAGGAGACACCCCCAAACUCUUGGGAUAGCAUAUAAGGCCCCCCAGGCCCUGGGGCCUGCCUACCUCUUCAGCCUCAUCUUCCAAACACCUCCUACUUAGACUCAAGGCCUAUCUAACUCUUGCCGAGCCACCAACAGAAAUGUGCAGUUCAUGUAAGCCGUCAUGCCUCUGUAUGUGCAGUUCCCUCCGCCAGAUAUAACCUUCAUCUGCCUGCCGGUUCAAGGCUCAUUUCAUCAGUGAAACCUUGUCUGAACCUACAAAGAGGGACUUGGACACACUCGCCUUUGUCCCACAGCUGUGUCCUGUUAGAGCAACUGACAUACUGCAUUGUCUUUGUUUUCUUAGCAAAUCUGUCUUCCCUUCCAGACCAUGGCCUGGCAAAGGGCCUGGCCCAGAAAAGGGACUCAGUAAAUGCUGUUUGAUGACAUA